GACAGAGGUGCCGAGCAUUAGGCGGAAUCACUGGGCUUAAAGCGUGUGUAGGCGGGCCGUUAAGUGCCCCGUGAAAUCCCCCGGCUCAACCGGGGAACGGCGGGGCAUACUGGCGGCCUUGAGGCACCCAGGGGCGAGCGGAACAGGCGGUGGAGCGGUGAAAUGCGUAGAUAUCGCCUGGAACGCCGACGGUGAAAACAGCUCGCUGGGGGUGUGCUGACGCUGAGACACGAAAGCCAGGGGAGCGAACGGG
This 253-nucleotide ribosomal RNA is filed under the name uncultured bacterium. RNAcentral's name for it is "partial 16S ribosomal RNA". It matches the Rfam family "Bacterial small subunit ribosomal RNA", at positions 524 to 776 of the family's 1533-position model. The record is from RNAcentral.